UGAACAGAACUCCAAACAGAGGAGUAGCAAAAUGGGAGGAAGGUGCUGUGACUAAAUGAAGGAAGGCUGAGGGGUUAAAAUCAUUGCUGGGUGAUUUCACCACUACUGCCCCAUAUUCAUACUCUCGGUAAAUGAAUGAGGAGAGCCCCAUGUGGGAUUACAAACUUGCUGGAAAUGGAUGAGAAACCUUCUGCUCUGCUGGAGUUUGAUUUAGACUUGAACGGGAACAUCCACUCAUCCUGUGUUUUUAGCCUCCAGGUCUCCAGGCUGGAACUUAUACCAUUGAUUCUUCUGAAUCUUAGAGCUUUGGACUUGGACUGGAACUAAAUCAUCAGCUCUUCUUGUUCUACCACUUGCAGACUGCAGAUCUUGAGACACACCAGCCUCUAUAAUCACCUGCAGUCAUGUCAUUGAUACAACUUCUGAUCCACACCUCAUGCUCCUUCUUUUCAAAGAAGCCACCCAGUUGUUACCUACUUCAGGUUGAAAGUCACAUUUGAUGGCAAGAUGAUCCUGUACCCAACUAGGAGAGCUUCUGCAGCUCUCAUGAGUUGAUCCUGUUCCCCUCAACUGAACA
Cebus imitator (Panamanian white-faced capuchin) is the source of this 577-nucleotide long non-coding RNA. RefSeq lists it as uncharacterized. Lineage: Eukaryota; Metazoa; Chordata; Mammalia; Primates; Cebidae. The transcript is spliced from 4 exons. The record is from RefSeq and is a predicted model, not a curated record.